This 490-nucleotide ribosomal RNA is filed under the name uncultured bacterium. RNAcentral's name for it is "bacterial SSU rRNA". It matches the Rfam family "Bacterial small subunit ribosomal RNA", at positions 29 to 518 of the family's 1533-position model. The record is from RNAcentral.
AUGAACGCUGGCGGCGUGCUUAACACAUGCAAGUCGAACGAAGCUCCUGACGCUGAUCCUCGGGUGAAGCAGAUGGAUGACUGAGUGGCGGACGGGUGAGUAACGCGUGGGUAACCUGCCCUAUACAGGGGGAUAACAGUUAGAAAUGGCUGCUAAUACCGCAUAAGCGCACGGUAUCGCAUGAUACAGUGUGAAAAACUCCGGUGGUAUAGGAUGGACCCGCGUCUGAUUAGCUAGUUGGUGAGGUAACGGCUCACCAAGGCGACGAUCAGUAGCCGACCUGAGAGGGUGACCGGCCACAUUGGGACUGAGACACGGCCCAAACUCCUACGGGAGGCAGCAGUGGGGAAUAUUGCACAAUGGGCGAAAGCCUGAUGCAGCCGACGCCGCGUGGGUGAUGAAGUAUUUCGGUAUGUAAAGCCCUAUCAGAUGGGAAGAUAAUGACGGUACCAUACUAAGAAGCUCCGGCUAAAUACGUGCCAGCAGCUGC